Triticum aestivum (bread wheat) is the source of this 3072-nucleotide long non-coding RNA. RefSeq lists it as uncharacterized. The record is from RefSeq and is a predicted model, not a curated record. The transcript has 4 exons. Lineage: Eukaryota; Viridiplantae; Streptophyta; Magnoliopsida; Poales; Poaceae.
UUCAGCCACGCGUGUACCUCCGCUGUCGGCUGCCGGCCGCAUGCCGCAUGUGAGGAGUCGCUCCAAGAAACGGCUCGUGAGUGUGGGGCUCGGUUCCCUCUCCUCCAGUUCUCCACCACGCGCGGUCCAGUCACCUGCCGCCGCCCCGACUCCACCGGAGCCCCAACUGCUGCCACCGGAUACAUCUGGUCGGAGUACCAGUAGGUCCGCCGGAAACACCGAGUCCCGGUGCCUCUGGCCAUGGAGCAAGGGAGUCUGGUAAAGGAGCUAUUUUACCAAGGCAACGGGCCUCCGGGGCUCGGAGAGGCCAGGAUCCUCCUUCGAUCUAAGCAAACACAUUCCACCUUCCAGAUCAAGGUGAUUGUGUUGAUUCUGCUUCCUUUUCCAAGCCAUGGAGUCAUGCCCGAGGAAAGAGUCAGCAGAACAGGAACGUGUACCUGUACUUCUACUGAAACUUAACGACACUGCUCCUCAAAGAAAGACGGUUAUUAUACUACUGCACAACUCUUACAAAUGCAAGGAAUGGUUGUGUCCACUGCUUCAGGCACUGAACUCAUCUUGGAGGAGUGGGAAAACUAUACCUUUCAUUUUUACACGGUACCAUACAUUACUUCCACUUGUUAAAAUUAUUAUUUUUAUCAUCCUUAAAUUGUGCUGUUCAAUUUGUCCAUCAAAUAUAGUUUUUAAUAAAUGGAUAGUUAUGUACUCAAAGAAUAUGAGACCAAAAAUAUGUAAGAUGUUCCUUUAGUACCUCUCCCCUUCUGCAAGUUCAGCUGAUCAAUAUUGCUAGUGUCGGUUCAGCUGAAUGUUUGGACAGGGAAAUCAUGUCUAAAGGGAGUAAGAAAGUCAGCACUGCUGCAUGACGUUUAUAAUUGAAUAGUCAAACAUUUUGAGUAGUAGCAUAAAAGCCAGAAAAGAUGACAAAAGGGAAAUAGAGGAGGUAGAGAUCUCAAUUGUAGUUCUGUAGAUCGGUAUACAAGAAAACACACACUUACCAUUAAUCUGGAUAAGUGAGUUAGCGUGAUAGUACGUUUUCAAACUCUCUGAAAGUAGAUGGCUGCCAAGCUUUUGUUUGCUGGAGAAGUGCCAUGAUACAGAUGUAUAUAUCUAGCAUUGUCACCUCCAUAAACAGUGAAACUUCAAAAGAAACAAUUGUCACAGUCAGCUAUCUUCAAUCAUAAUGAUAGUCUCAUUCAUUGCUAGGUUUGUAACCUUCUUGAAAAUUAUGGUCCAACUAAUCUGGAGAAAAUCAAUUGGCAUAGGAGGAGACAAUGUAUACCCAUAAAAUUCAUGUUAAUAGGUUUACAUUGAAUUAUUGGUUGAGACAAACCAACAAAUUAGUAUGGAUGUUACAAUUUGAAUUCCAAGAAUUAUCAGAUACAAAUCUGUGACUCCAUUAUCAAACUGAGUUAACAUCUUUAUCACCAUGGAUGAAAGAGCAAUAUAACAAGGUACAAAGACAUAAUAGUUGUAGGAAAGAGAAAGGAUGGAGGGGAGAGGGCCGUGUGUGUGAUAUCCACCUCGUGUGGAUCUGGCCGCUCGUCAGCGAGCCUCGCUGGUGAGCAGCAGGAGAUCGACGUGAGACACCUCACCUCGAACUGACUCUUGCUCGACUGCACCUUGAAUCUCACCAGUGCGUGGCGUGGCCAUUGUGCAUCACAUAGCAGUUUGUAAAAUUGGGAACAUGGCAAUAUGAGGAAAAUAGAGAAACAAUACACAUCAUGGCGAUGCUGAACUUCAACAGCCAUGCACAACGCAGCAGAUCCUAAGCGCCCUUCUCCUUGCCGGCGCCAAACAAUAGCUGGCGGUGAGGCGCUGCCGGCCGGCGUCACCUCUCCUACUGUGCCGCGGAUCCGUGUCGUUAAAGACGAAGAAUUGUCAAGUCGCUGCAGAGAUGCAAAUUAAAAUUCCAAUACAUAUCUGUUAGUAUGCAAAAUGUUUAAAACUAAGGUUGUACCUUGCAAUGCACCACAACAACCAACGUUUUAGCAUGCCAUUUAUUCCAAGAGCAGGAUCGUAACAUACUUUCAGAAAAGUGAAGUCCAGAUCAUACACUCAUGAAUAAAUGCUUUGGUUUUCAACUGCCACAAUGAUAUCCCCCCUACUGCAAGCCCCUGCCUAUAGCUCUAAACUGAACCAACAAGUUAGCAUGUCAUUUAUUUACAAAGUAAUGCUUAGCAACCUAAUUCCCCAAAGGCAGGAGUCUAGAUAGUUUCAGAAUGUGCAGUUUAGAUUAUUUUUUCUAGUAUCAAUUCUGAACAUGACACAACAGUUUAGCUCCUUUUAUUUAAGCUCACACCAUGUGAUGAUUUUUUUUGCAGUUGCAAUCGCAGUAGGUUUACUUGCACAAUGCUAGUAGCUUAUUCUUUCUGUAUUCUGAAAUAAAACAAAAAAAUAGACCUUAGAAACAUCCAAGUAGCACCAAAAGAAUAAAACAGGGGAGGUUAGAAAAUGCUCAAGCAUCAGGAUGGAUGAGUAAUUAUAAAAUAGAAACAAAAGGGCCUUCUUCCAUUAUUUUUUGUUCCCUGUCACUUAUAUACAUCAUAGCAACACACAUGCAUUUUAACUAUAGAAAAACAUAAUUCCUAACUGAGGAACAAAGUUAUAUUAGAGCACCACAUUUUAUAAGCACUAUACAUCUAUACUUACCUUACUUGGGUAUGACCUAAGUAGGCUUGACAUUCACCAUGAUUCAUACACACAAUGUACUACAUCUGAGAUAGAAUGGUACCCACAAAUUAAACAAUAAUCUACAUAAAUCAAAAUUAAAAUGUCUAUUACUUUGCCUCUUCUACGCAAUGGUACAUACAGUUGGAGAAACAUGAAAAUGCAAAUGAAUAAAUUCUCCAUAUUUUUGGUGAUCCAUUAAUAUUUGGAGGUAUAAAUAAGGAAUAGAAAAAUUAAGAAACAGUGACUUAAUUAGUCUUUGACCAAUAUUUGAAGGUAUAAAUAAGUAGUCAAAUUGGUAUCCAAUUGCCGGCUUGAGUUUCACAUUUGAAGACCACUUCUUUCCAUGGAUUAUAGGCAUUAGAUACUGGUUGAUUUCAAAGUUUCAAUUUACAUGAAUUGGAA